Violaceomyces palustris is the source of this 116-nucleotide non-coding RNA. The record is from the annotation of a GenBank genome assembly. Lineage: Eukaryota; Fungi; Basidiomycota; Ustilaginomycetes; Violaceomycetales; Violaceomycetaceae.
GCCCUGCUAGCUCAGUGGUAGAGCGUAUCUCUCCUACCAUGCCUGAUCACCCGCCGACAUACGCUUGUGGGGGUAGGAUCAAGAUGAAGUCGUGGGUUCGACCCCCACGUGGGGCU